This is a long non-coding RNA of Capsicum annuum, 2322 nucleotides long. RefSeq lists it as uncharacterized. Lineage: Eukaryota; Viridiplantae; Streptophyta; Magnoliopsida; Solanales; Solanaceae. The record is from RefSeq and is a predicted model, not a curated record. The transcript is spliced from 2 exons.
AAUUAAAGACCCAAUGGGCCACUUUAUUAAUCAAAUAAAAAUGUACACUGUUGGACCAACGUGCCAGAGUCCAAAAAGGAAACCAAACAAUGCAAAAAGAAAAACUAAGUGUACCUAAUCAAUUGAUUAAUUAGGAAAGUGAAAUGUCUGCAGAUAAACUCGACAGACACGAAGAGAAAACUCCAUUGACAGGAACCGCAUCCAAUCUCAAAACUAAUGGGGGAGACGAAUCGGAGCUGCGAAAAAGGAUUCCAGCAGCUACAAAGUGUUUCUUCUUCACCUAUGCAUUCCAAAUUAAUCAAUCAAAUUAAUCGGAGUUGUUCAUCGAACCUGUUCAACCACGUCACCACCAUUGACUUUCAAGUAUUGUGGUUACGGUUGGACUGAGCUGCUUCAAGCUAUUAGGAUUCAUUUGCUCAUGCUAGUCAAAGUACCAAGCUGAAAUCUUCAAGUGGAAAUUAGAGGUACGACUAAAACUCUGCAAAUCUAUACUAACACCCUAGUCUUUAUACUCUUUUCCUUAAUGGAUUGAACCCACAUAGGUUAAUACCACCAUGUUAAGUGAAGAGAGUCAAAACUAGAGUGAAUUAGUAAGAUCUGUGACAUAAGUGUAUAAAUACUAAACGAAAUAUUAAAACAUCUCCUACUAUUGACUUGUGAGUCUUGGUUUCAUACCAUAUGUAACACGUCAAAGCUCUCACCAAGUGCAUGGUAUAGUAACCAACCGAAAAUACUUCGGACUUCACAAAGUACAUUAAUAAGCCGAUCUUUUAAACUCAGCAUUAGUAUUCAUAUCAUAAAAGUGUAUAAGAAAGUAUGACUAUUUAAGAUGUGAAAUUUGUAACAGAGUGUCCGAUUCUCAUGUUUGGUAAACUUAGCUUAUCAAGAUUGAUAAUCUUUUUCCUUUAAUUGGAACUUUCUGGAACUUCCUAUAUUCAACUGUACCUGCAAAAUCAAGAACCAAGUUAGCAAAAUAGUCAACAAGAGUAUUUCCCUCCCUCAAAGAGUGUUGUACUCUUACUGAUAUAACUUCGAUAAGCCUUUUAAUGGACUUAACCUCCAUUGUCACACUCCACGGGACUUUUCAAACUCCAUUAAUAAUGUGCAUCAAAGCCAAAGAAUCAAGUUCCAUGAUAAUAUUAAGGAAAUUAUUUUCCAGCAAUACUGCAAACCUUCUCUAACAGCCACAGCCUGUGCCACCAGAUUAGUUGAAUCAACAAUCUUCAAACCCUUUGCACCCACUAAAUCACCAUCACUAUUUCUUACACAAAAAACUGCAGAGCUAGCACCUGGAUUACCUCUUGAGGCCCCAUCUGUGUUACAUUUCCACCAACCAACAGGUGGUGGUAACCAUUUCACAAAUUUGCAUUGAAAACUUGGCCUAUAACUAUCAAGCAGAGCUACCAUAUAAGGCCAAGUUCUAGGAAUCUCAGUAUAUUGAAACUUCAGCUUGAUAAACUUCUGAAGAGUAGUGUUAAUAUCAUGCAAUACAUUACCUAUAGAAUACACUCCUCCAUGUAAUACAGUGUUUCUCCUCUUCCGUAUAAACCAUAAAACAAUAUUAGGAAUAGCUUGAAAGAUCACUUUUUGUCUAGCAUUUCCAUGUGCAUCCUACUACUUUUUCAUGGUCUGUUUUACUUGAAUCCGAAGAUCCGAAGACCAAUGAUACCAGCUAUAUUUGACACAUAAUUCCAAACAUUGGUAGCUAUUUCACCAUUUACAAAAAGAUGUUCCAUGGUCUCUCUGGCUGGUACUGAACAACAAGUACAAAAUUGAGAGAUAUUAGGGUUUCAGUUAGCCAAAAUUACUGCAACAGGGACCCUGUUAGUCCAUACUCUUCACCCAAAGAAUGAAAUUUUAAAAGGAAGUCCUUUCACCCAGAUCUUCUUAAAAAAAUUGAAACUUCAUCUUUUUUUCGUAAGAUUUCCCAUGCAUUCUUUAUUGAAAAUUUUCCAGAACUUGUCUUAGUCCACCAAGGUUUAUCCCCCAUCUCAGAUUGCCGGACAUGAUCCAUAUGAUUUCUAACAUGAUCCACAAUGUGGGCAGGUAUAUGAUUUUGCAUUUCCUCAUAGUCCCAGCCUGCUUCAUUCAUAAACACUCCAAUUUCUGUCAAAGGAUGACAAGAAACCACCUCUGAUUGAUGAUUAUAAAGUGGAUCAAGCAUUGUCCAAUUAUCAUACCAAAUAGUUACGGAACCUCCCUUAGGUUCCCACCAUAGGUGUUGUUCAAUGCAGUUUCUAUUAUGUAGCAUAUAUUUCCACUGUUGAGAACCUCCCCUCCACUGAACCAAUGAAGGUAAUUGUUUCUUACAAUACUUGUUCU